RNAcentral lists this ribosomal RNA (775 nucleotides) under uncultured Neocallimastigales. RNAcentral's name for it is "partial large subunit ribosomal RNA". It matches the Rfam family "Eukaryotic large subunit ribosomal RNA", at positions 23 to 635 of the family's 3401-position model. Lineage: Eukaryota; Fungi; Neocallimastigomycota; Neocallimastigomycetes; Neocallimastigales. The record is from RNAcentral.
AGAGAGAGACAUGCGCGCAUAUCAAUAAGCGGAGGAAAAGAAACUAACAAGGAUUCCCUUAGUAACGGCGAGUGAAGCGGGAAGAGCUCAAAUUUGAAAUCUUCAAGGUUUUACCUUGACGAAUUGUAGUUUAAAGAAGUGUUUUCUGCUGAAGUUUUGGUAAAAGUUCUUUGGAAUAGGACAUCAUAGAGGGUGAGAAUCCCGUAUUUGACCAUUAUUUUCAGCUUUGUGAUACACUUUCAAAGAGUCGGAUUGUUUGGGAAUGCAGUCCAAAAUGGGUGGUAAAUUUCAUCUAAAGCUAAAUAUUGGCGAGAGACCGAUAGCGAACAAGUACCGUGAGGGAAAGAUGAAAAGAACUUUGAAAAGAGAGUUAAACAGUACGUGAAAUUGUCAAAAGGGAAGCGUUUGACACCAGUGUUGUUUUCUCGAAAAUCAAUUAAAAAUGGCUCGAUUUUGUAUUGCUGAGACCUUAAAAGCUCACUGUACAUUUUUCCGUGUCUUUUUUAAUGCACUUUUCGUUUAACAAGUCAACAUCAGUUUCUUUUGUUGUAAAAGGGUCAUUGGAAGGUGGCUUCCUUUUCGGAGAAAGUGUUUAUAGCCUUUGGCCUCUGCAAUCGAAGAGACUGAGGUCUGCAGCGUAGACUCUUCGGGGUUAGAUACAUUUGUGCUAAGUUAUAGCUCUUUAUAGACAACUUGUUGACUAUAAUUAGUCUUGUAGCUUACUCGCUUAUGCUAUUUUACCUACGCUUAGGAUGUUGAAGAUGUAGCACAUCAU